Molecule: ribosomal RNA, 22 nt
Filed under: Celtis reticulata
Lineage: Eukaryota; Viridiplantae; Streptophyta; Magnoliopsida; Rosales; Cannabaceae
Description: partial 26S ribosomal RNA
Source: RNAcentral
GCGACCCCAGGUCAGGCGGGCU